CGUCUGGUUCUCUAUGAGUUUGAUAACAGUCAGGUCAAAAAAAUUAUAAGUCUUCUGACAUGAAAUAAAAGCUCAUCAUAAAAAUCUAUAAACCGUUCGGAGAGGGCCUACAAUCAACGUAAACCACAAAUUAAAUUAAAUAAAUUAAGUUUCUUGGGCCAUUAUAAAGUGAUAGUACGCUAUUUUACAAAUGUACAAUAGGAGAACGACAGACGUUCGAUAAGCGCAGAGAAAAUUUGGAGAAAAUUAAUUCAAAAAAAUUAUAAGUCUUCUGACAUGAAAUAAAAGCUCAUCAUAAAAAUCUAUAAACCGUUCGGAGAGGGCCUACAAUCAACGUAAACCACAAAUUAGAGGAAGAGCUCGACCAAAAAUCGGUUCACAAUAAUGAUAAUAUCGGGUUUAAAACGAUUCGCAAAUAAAAGUGUAAAGCUUCUAAAAGAGAUUAAAGUAGAACGUCCAAUGAGGAACAGUACUGGAUUUAUUUGUAAUUGCAACUAUACACUGCUAGGCAAGAGUAAUUACCAACAACCACUCUCAAGGAAGGUCAUUUUCUCAAAUAAAACUGCAAUUAAUUGGAUAUUGAUGUCCCAGAGAAGUGGACCGAUUUAUUAGAAAAAAAUAUAUAUGUGUCAACAUACAUCCCCGUUUCGAUUUGGUCAAAAUAUUUGGUAUUAUUCCUAAAGGUAUUACUCUUGUCUCCAGAAAUGGACCAGUGACCAGGAAUCGAGUUCAAUUUUCUCGAAUCAUAUGCGAUAUGCAUAUAAACAAAAAUUGAUGCUCAAGUAAGUAUGGGUAGUCAGCAGUAGGAUGGGUGGCAAUAACAGUGACCAAUAUUUCAAUAUUUUAUUAACACUUUGACUCUUAUUUAAGUCACAAAUAAUUAUUUCUGAAGGUCAAGAAAUAGAAAGACAUUUAUAAUGACCAUUUAUAUAAAAAAUAUAGUAAUAAAAAAAUACCCUUAAUCGAGAUAUAACGAAUGGAGUUGAAAUUCCGGAAAAAUGCAUCGUUUUAUUAAAAAAAAUUUUAAGAAUGUUUCUCAAAAUUUAUAAUUAUAACUUCCCAUUGUAAUAAAUAUCUCAUGUAAGUUACAGCUAUU
Ceratitis capitata (Mediterranean fruit fly) is the source of this 1096-nucleotide RNA transcript. RefSeq lists it as uncharacterized. The record is from RefSeq and is a predicted model, not a curated record. NCBI's taxonomy places the organism in Eukaryota, Metazoa, Arthropoda, Insecta, Diptera, Tephritidae. The transcript has 3 exons.